AGAGAGAGAGAGAGAGAGAGAGAGAGAGGUCAGGGGAGAUAGAGAGAGGGAGAGAGAGAGAGAGAGAAUUUAUAAUUUUAAUUUUAAAUUUAUAUAUAAAUUUUAAAUUUUAAAUCUUAAAUUUAAUUUUAACUUUAUAUAUAUAUAUAUAUAUAUAUAUAUAUAUAUAAAUAUAUAUAUAAUAUAUAUAUAUAACUAAUUUUAUUUAUAAAUAUAUAUUUAUUUAUUAUAUACAAUUUUAUAUUUAAUUUUUCUUUUAUGUUUAACAUUUUAACUUAGAUCUUAAAAUAAAAAAUUAAAAAGAUUUCUUCAAAAAUAUUUUAAAAUUAUCCAAAUUUUCCGCUGCGGAGCGCGGCCUUCACUAGUUUCUAGACAAAGUUUAAAUUAUAUUUUCAUGUUCCUUUUCUUUAUAAGAUUAAUAUGUACUAAAAAAAAAUAAAAUCAAUAAAUUUUAUUUUAAGCCAUUAUAUUUUAAUAUGGCUAAUAAAAUAAUUCAGCCGGUUUGAUUAAAAUCGAAUCAUUUUACCGUUUAAUGAUUAAAUCACUACUUCAACAAUUCAAAGCAGUUUUUUGACUUUUGGGUUCCAAGAGUUAAAGCGAACUGUGUUAUAAAUUGGGUCUCGGACUUUGUCGAAAUGCGAGUUCAAAUAAAGACUUUCAUCAAUUUAUAUAUAUAUAUAUAUAAUAUAUAUAUUAUAUAUAUAUAUAUUAUAUAAUAUAAUAUAUAUAUAUAUAUAGAUAUAUAUUAUAAUGAUGCAAAGAGAAAAAUAAAACAUUGGGGUAAAAAAGUUGAGGGAGGUGGAAUAUUUGAUAGAAGCAAAACUAAAAUCAUUCUAUUUAAGAGAAAAUUUGUUUUCAAUUUUUGCCGUCAAAAUAAAAAAAACUUUUAAGAUGCAUAGACUACAAUCACCCUAAAACCAUCAAUCCACACAUCCACACAUUCUAGCUAGUACAUAGAAUUUAUGUUUGAAAAAAAAAAAACAAUAAUACCAAAUGAUUAUCUAUAAUAGGAUUUCUUUAUCUACAUCUCCAAAUUAAAAUCUAAUUAAGUAUGCGAAUAUCUAGAAAUGAGCCCGUUUUUUAUACUUUUAGAAGCACGAUGACCUCUGUGUAAUCAAGUCGUUAAUGGAUGGUGAAACUUCCGAAUCGACGAUCGCCUCAAUUAGACUUGAUCUAAAGUAUUUGAAAUACCUAAAAAUAAAUUUUAUAAUUUUUCGAUAUCAUUUACUUAGUGAUCGAAAGGACUCAAAAUCAAUAGGACAUUGAUAUGGCUUUAUGCAGUACAAAGAAUUUUUUAUCAAAAUUUUAUAAGAUUUGAAUAUUUCUACGCCGUUGAACUUACAAACGACUCAUCGCGACUAUUAAAAUUGUUAAUUUUGGGCCCUUUCGAGAAAUCAUAAAAUUUAUCUUUUAGAUACUACAAAUACUAUAGAUCUAAAUCUAACGGUGCCAAUCGUCGAUUGCAAUAUCAAAAACGACUCGAUAAUACCCGUGCUUCUAAAAACAUAAUACAAACCUAGCUAUCUAGAUAUUAUUAAUAAGCAUUACAUAUCAACUAUCUUUCAUAAGAUUGCGAGAUUACAAUCUUAAUGUGCGGAAAAGACCGGUGCAGUUGCUACAUUCUCUGAAAAAUUUCUUCUGGAAAAAAAAAUUGUUUGGCUAUCCAGGGAGAUGGUUAUUUUCCGCAACGAAAUUGCCAUUCGGAAUAAGAACUCCAAGAUGUCAUAUUCAUAUCUUUUUCCCAUAAAAUUAUGGAUCGAUAUCCGGACCAAUUUCUCAAGACAGAAGUUGUGAGAAUCCCAGUAUUCUCCUUUGCCAAAUCCGCCGAUGUAGUUGUAAAAAUCCUCGGAUUGAGACUAGAGAAAAAAACAUAUAUGAGAAUAGAGGACGAAAAGAAAAUGAUGAAAAUGCGGAGAUCUUAGGAUAUGUUUUAUAAGAAAAAAUAAUUUUUAAUAUAUUUUUAUCAUUUUCGAGAGUACGAACAAUAUAAAUAUUUAUAGAGAAAAUUUUAUGUAUUUUAGUCUAAUUUUGAUUUACUUAUUGAAUCUUUGGUACAUCCUCCGCUGAGAGAAACACGCAGUGUCUCGAUCUUAGAGAAUAUCUCGAGCAAAAAGGUAACAUCCAGUGAGCUAAAUCCUCCAAAUUAAGUAGACAGUCAACUCUUCUCAUAUUCCUGAUCUAGUGGAUUAUUUACCUCAUUGCGCCGAUCAAAAACUAACUUGUCCAAGACCUGUAAUAUUAUUUAAUUCGGCAUAUCAUUUCAGAAUAAGAAUAAAAAGGUUUAUAAAUAGUGUUUGUUAAAUAUAAAAAUAUAAAAAAUAUAGUUCUCGUGUUUUAACGAGCUAUUACGUCUCUGCCUUCUCAUCCUCCUCCUUGUAGUUAUGCAGCCUUCUUCUCUUUCUUCCCGAUUCAUCUUCCAUCCUAAUAAUCGUAUAACAUAUCCAUAUUAUAUAUGUAUAUAUAAGAGAAAAUAUACUCUAUUUUUUUUUAAUCUUUUUUAGUUAAUAAGACCAAAAUAAUUAUGCAAUGAUUAAAGAAAUAUAUUUGUUGAUGAUAAAAUAUUUUAAAAAAUUACCAAAAUAAUUUGUUUAUAAAAGAGCUAAAAUUUAGGGAUUUCGCCGCAUUUUUUUUUAAAAUAAAACGGUGACUCAUAAAUCGUAAUCAGAGGAAGAGAUAAACUGAUUUGGUUAGACUCGAUUGAGGAUUGUCGUAAGGAUUGAGAUUUUGACAGUACAAUUAGACUCUCUGUUGACGAUGUUUAUAUGUGUAAUUUAAUUACAUAAGCACUCGUCAAAUUUCAAGCGAAAAUGAGCUAAAACGGAGAAGUUACGCGAUUAUUAGUUUUCACUUAAGUGAAUAGUAACUCCGGUUUCCCGGAGAAGCCACGGAGUAGAGUUGGCUUUCGGCGCGUAUCGGACUCCGUUCAUAGCGAUCCAAUAGCUCGUUUCGAUCGGUUCAGCUAUUCUGGAACCAAUGGCACUGACGGAUUUCAGAUCCGAUGCACGAUUUUCGAUAAAAAGGGAUUUUAUCAAAAAGAGGGUUUCCGAUCUUUGCUAUUCGUGCAUUUUGAAACUCCUCGUGCUUUGUACAAGUGAUCUGGAGAUGGGUGAGAGAUGUUUCAAGUACCUACUGGUGGUAGGGAAUUCAAAUACGAGUUUGAAUUAACGGAUUUCGGGUUUCAACCUAGGCCUAUAUAUGAUAUGUGGAUUAGUUGGAGAGAGGGCAGGUUUUGUCGCUGAUCGGAGACCAAAUCAGACGAAACAAAAUGCUAGGUUCGAUGCACCCGACAUGCUGAACGCAAUGGUGCUGUUGGAUCGAAAAUCCGACGAACGGAUUUUCAGGAAACGCGAAAUGUUCGCUGAGGGGUCGAAUUGGCAAAGUCGGAAACUUCGCAAAAGUUGCGAUAUUUUAUGUACCGAAUCGCGUGAAACCGGACGUGGAGGGGUAUCCGCGCGAUUUACUCACGCUGUGAGGGACUCGGAUAGAAUUGUUGAGUCUUGGAGGACUAUUUUGCAAAUUGGACCUAUGUAAAUAGUAGUUACACUAGGGUUUCAUGAGGAAACCCUAGCUUUUGGCCUUCUCCUUAGCCGAACCUAACCCUAGCCGCCCCACCUGCAAUUCUGCCCUCCCCGUGCGUAUGCUCCGGCCGCCGGCGAUCACCUCCGGCAGCCGGAAUUCCCUACACCACCUCUCUCUCUCCCUCUCAGCCAACCACUCCCCCCGCAUCGUGGUUACGAACCCAGGAAGUCACCUAGGUCCGAGCACCAUCAUCCCCUGGUAGAGACCAACCUCCGGCACCGUCGCCGGACGAUGCCGCCGUCGGCGCGCGUCGCCGGAACCAGCAGAGCUAGCCGCGGCCAGCCUGGGCCAACCCUGGCCGAGCCGACUGCAGCUCGGUGCCUGCUUGUUGGAGCCGCCCUAGAUCGGCCGCCCCGACUUCCUCCGGCCUCUGGCGAUCUCCGGCGCACUUCCCCGUCGCCCCCGCGCACCUCCGGCCGCCGCUCGGGCAGCCUGCAGCUGUCCAGACCGGAUCGGGCCGAGUCUGGGCGCACACGACCUCCGCGCGCCGCCGCCGCCCACCGACGGACGCGCUGCCACCCCUUGGACCUCCGGCGACCUCCCGCUGCCGCCGGCGACCUCCCGCGUGUGUUUCCUGGCGUCCCCGACCAACGCCGGCCGCCGCCCGAAGCUCUCGCAGCCGCCCAGACCCGUGCGGGCCGAGGUCGGGCCCGCUCGGCUUUCAAGCACCGCCGCCGCCCACCGGGGGGUGCACCACCUUCUCCUCGACCUCCGGCGACGAACCAUCGCCGCCCCGGGCUCCUCCGGCCGCCGCUUCACCGCCAGCGCCCUUGAACCUGAAAGGAACUUGGCGAACUUGAUCUCCGCCGCCGCGCCACCGGCCACCUCCCGCCGCCGGCCAGCUGGUGCCCCGGACCCCUUCGACCUGCCGCACCCUUCCCCGGCCGGACCGCCCGCCGUCCGGCCACCGCCGGCCAUGCCCUAGCUCCUCCAAGCUCCGGUAAGCUUAGUUUAGUUUCAGCACACUGUUUAGGGUUCGGAUCGCGGUUCCAGCGAUCCGAGGGCACUCCGAUGCUACUGGAGGUGAGCAUGAUGAUACUGAGUUAGUGAGGAUCAUCGUGAUCACCUCCGUAGGGGUCAGCGAUGCGCCGGUUUGCGUGUUAGACGCGAUUUAGAUACCAUGCACGCUGUUUCGCUGAAGUUCGCUUCAUGCGCGUGCCCUCCACAGUGGCCGGAAUUGCUCCGAAAGGUGAGCACAGCCUCCGGCACGUCGAGACAUGUCAGUAGGUGUCUCGGUUUGGCUGCAUGACUCCUGGUUUGUGUAGACUGACCAUAAAAGCGCUGAAAUCGCAUGAAAUAAUGCGAUUUUGGGUAAUCGGGAGGGCUUUUAUGCAAUUUGAUUUGUCGUAGCUGCUGUUGGCAGCAUGGGUGAGCUGUGGGUGACCUCUGGACUGAUGGUCCAAGGCCCCGGACCUUUGCGAAGAUCGGAAAUGUAUUUCCGGUGCGUUUGUCGGCAAAAUCCGCCGACGGAACGCGGUUUUGGUUCGGAAUUAUUCCGACGGUGCUUCGUGAGUUAUUGUGUGGUUGCUGAGCCUCAUUGGCUGGUCACUCGCAUCAUUUCGAGAGUUUAGAAAUGACGGGUGAGCGACGGUGGGUUCCGGUGUCGAAAUAGACACUUCCGGGAACCCGGUUCGGAACGAUUAUCCGACGAUAAUCGUUUUGGAGUGAGUUAAGGUCUUUGCUGCCAAGUCACAUGUAAAUUGUAUUUAGUGGCAGCGGGUGACUCGUAGUACGAGUCGGUGAGUUCCGGGACAGUCCGUGGGUCCCGGCAGAGUCUCGGUGCGGUUUUCGGGACUUCCGGUUUGUUCGGUAAUCGGUUUUGGGAAACCGAUCUCCGUGGGAUUGUCUGUGGGUUGUGUAUUCAGGGGUUUAUUUGUGGGGUUAUGCUUUUAGGGUUUCUUAGUUGUGGGUUAGACACUAACCCAGUGGACCCUCCUUAGGUCCUGUUGACGUUCUUUUGCAGUCAGGAGACAGGCGCGACAGUUGUACAGGUGGGUACUUCGAUCCGACGUUGGUACAGUGGUGCACGCUCGGUGAUGGUUUCUUACCCUUGCUCUUUUGUUAUUAUCCAUGCUUAUAUUAUAUGUUGAGCUUUGCACCUCUAUUGUUUACAUUACACCCACGUUGUUUGAUUAUACUCUACUCAGAUGUUUCCAUGCUUAGUAUCAUGUGUAGGAGUAUAGUCUAUCUGUAUGUGAUACCAUGUUUCCUUGUUGCUCUACUUAGCUAUUCUGCAUACCCUGUUUCAUAUUUAUAGUAGAGCGAUUCUGUGAUUAUCUGUGAGAUUAGCGAUCUAGUCGGUCGAUUCUAGUAUUCAGUAUUUGUGACCUAUUCGGUGAGUUCCUCGACCUUUGUUGUCUGAUGACCGUUGAGGUCGGUAUACCCUGAGGGGUGGGAUUGUCGGUUAGUUGCCGACGGAUGAUUAUACUUUACUCAUAUCCUAUACUUGUGACAUGAUUGGUCGAGUUUCAUAUCCUAUACUUGUGACAUGAUUGGUCGAGUUUCAUAUCCUAUACUUGUGACAUGAUUGGUCGAGUUUCAUAUCCUAUACUUGUGACAUGAUUGGUCGAGUUUCAUAUCCUAUACUUGUGACAUGAUUGGUCGAGUUUCAUAUCCUAUACUUGUGACAUGAUUGGUCGAGUUUCAUAUCCUAUACUUGUGACAUGAUUGGUCGAGUUUCAUAUCCUAUACUUGUGACAUGAUUGGUCGAGUUUCAUAUCCUAUACUUGUGACAUGAUUGGUCGAGUUUCAUAUCCUAUACUUGUGACAUGAUUGGUCGAGUUUCAUAUCCUAUACUUGUGACAUGAUUGGUCGAGUUUCAUAUCCUAUACUUGUGACAUGAUUGGUCGAGUUUCAUAUCCUAUACUUGUGACAUGAUUGGUCGAGUUUCAUAUCCUAUACUUGUGACAUGAUUGGUCGAGUUUCAUAUCCUAUACUUGUGACAUGAUUGGUCGAGUUUCAUAUCCUGUACUUGUGACGUGAUUGGUCGAGUUUCAUAUCCUAGUUGAUCUGAGUGGUCAGUCCUUGUGGUUCAUUGAGCAGUAUUUGCAUAUGUUUGAGAGGAUGUCGAUGUUGUCCCAUCCUAGUUGACCUGAGUGGUCGGUUCUUGUGCUUCUUUACAGUUGACGACCUAUGCGGUCGAUGGGCCCUGGGGGGCAGGAUUGUCGGCUGGUUGCCGACGGUUGAUCAUUGAGCAUAUUGCAUUGAUCGCCCGAUACUCGUCGCAUUUCACGAACACUGGCGGUCUGAUCCACCGCAAGGAGUGUUCUUUUCCGGAAAAGUGGUUGAAUGGUGACAACCCGUGAGCCCUAGAGGGGUUAUAUGCACUGGAGAGUAGUAGUGGCACUGGCUUGAGGUCUGCGGUGCUGACCAAGAGAGCAUUGGUUUCAGAUUGGGUACUUUUGGACUUCUUGACCGGUUGACGCAUAUGUCUAUAGUAGCAGUCGUUGCAUGCAUACUUACAGUUCUUACUUUAUAGUUGUCUUGCUGCUAUAGUAGAUAUUCAUGUAUGCUUUCGGUUCCAGUUACAGUAGCGGUAGCCGUUAUUCAGUCUAGUUCUUACUUUCUUUCAGUUUAUUACUACUGUAUUCGGUAUAUCUGCUCUUUACCUUAUUAUUGUUGCUACUAUAUUUCUACUGACCCUUGUUGUUAUUUAGCUCUUCCUGAUCCGGUGAGUACUCCUCGCCUUCAUCGGCUUGCGGUACCCACUGGGAGGGGAGACAUGUUUACAUGUUCUCACCUCCCCCACUAUUUUUCAGGUAUCGCAGGCGAUGAGUAGUGGGACGAGACGUGAGGUACGUGUGUAGCGGUCGAUAUUGCUUCCGACCCAGGUUAUUUCGAUUUAGUUAUUACCCUUAUUAUUCUGUUGAUAUAUAGCUUAGUCGGUUUACAUGGUUCAAUUUUGUUUUAUUAUCUGAAUAUUUGAGUUUUCAGUUGGUUUUGGAAUGUAUUAAGGAAUUGUGUUUUUGAAAAAUAAAAGGUUUUCUACCUCUCGUGGUAGCGUUUUUAAAAGAUAAAAGUUUCCGUGUAGGGAACAGUUUUCAAAAGAUUUUCUGUGGUUUUGUAUCUUAGUAUUUCAAAACUUGUUUCCGGGUAGGAAACGUUUCAAAUGAUAGAUCUGGAUUUAUGUUUAAAACUAUGAAUACCGUCGUGUUGUGAAUGAUGAAUGUAUGGACGUCUGUAUGUGCAGUUGAGGUUGUAUGUUCAUAUGGUUGUGGUUGUAUUCUGGUUGUACUCUGGUUGUAUAAUUGUACUUGUGCGACGCCGUGCAAAUACAGGGGAGACUCUGUCCGUGUGAACAGUGGAUUCCCUGUAUUUGUGGCGGAUCUGACAUACUCUGGGGUCAGGUGUUUCAAAAAAAAAAAUUUAGUCGUUUCCGCUGUUUUUCCAAACUAAAAGGGGACCCCCGGGGCGUGACAAUUGUAGGGUAUUUACGAUAUUUAUAUUUGAAAGGGCAAGUGAUGAAAUUGCUCUUAUUUUUAAAUUGAGCAAUAUACAACAUUUACACCUUAAAGUGAGGUGUACAUCUUACACCCACUUCAUCACAAGGCUAUUAAUAUAUACUUUCGGCCUUUUUAAAUUUCGGUAUGUUGCAGAUACAUUUUUUAGCGGAAAAAAUUUUCAUGCUUAUCCAACUUGCGAAUCGGAGGAUAUUUUCUGUGAAUCUAUAUUUUAAUUCAAAAUUUAUUUAAUUCCUCAUUAUCUUUAAAACAGAAAACAAAUUCAUACUUAUCCAAAUUUUUAUUGUGAAUUUAUAUUUUAAUUCAAAAUUUAAAAUUUUGAACUAUCAAUAAAUUAUCUCAAAUAGAAAAUAAUUAACUAAUUUGAAAAUAAACUAAAUUUAAAAGAUAGAUUGAUUGAUAAAUAGAUUUAUGUCUCCAAUAACUACUUAUAUUCAAAUUAUUGAUUGAAAAUAAAUUUAAAAUUUGAAAUUUUAUUCAUAAAUUUAAAUAUGAAUUUAUUAAUUUAAAAUUUUUAAAUUAAUUUAAAUUUUAAAUCACAUUCAAAUUCAAACAAAAUUUGUAUGUUACGAAAUACAUAUGAAAAGUAUUUACAAUUUAACUAAAUUGAAAAUAUGCAAAACUUAUUCGGAGAUAAAUUAAAUUUAGAAAAACAUCAAAUAGUAAAUAAAAAAAUACCACCAAUAAUAAUUUAAAUUUAAAUUUAAUUUAAUUUAAUGUGUCGUAGUAUAGAAAAGCAUGCAUAUAUUUAAGUAUAAACUACUAAUUUCUAGUACUCCGCCCUCGUAGUUUUAUUUUUCUCUUUUAAUUAUCUCCUUUACUAAAUUUUUUCGUUAAAUCAUGAUGAACAGAAAAAAAUGAAAUCACAGGGUACUAAAUAGAACAAUGUGAGAGCAAAAAAUUUGAGGGGGAACAUCUAGGUGGAAUAUUUGAUAGAAGCAAAACUAAAAUCAUUCUAUUUAAUAGAAAAUUUGUUUUCAAUUUUUUGCCGUCAAAAGAAAAUACUUUCUAGAUGUAUAGACUACAAUCACCCCAAAGCCAUCAAUCCACACAUUCUAGCCAGUACAUAGAAUUUAUGUUUGAAAAAAAAAAAAAAUACAAUAGGACCAAAUGAUUAUCUAUAAUAGGAUUUCUUUAUCUACAUCUCCAAAUUAAAAUCAAAUUAAGUAUGGGAAUAUCUAGAUAUGAGCCUCUGAACAAUCAAGUCGUUAAUGGUGGAACUUCCGAGUCGACGAUCGGCUCAAUUAGACUUGAUCUAGAGUAUUUGAAGUAUCUAAAAAAUAAAUUUCAUAAUUUUUCGAUAUUAUUUACUUAAUGAUCGAAAGGACUCAAAAUCAACAAGAUAUUGGUAUGGUUUUAUGCAGUACAAAUGAUUUUUUUGUCAAAAUUUUAUAAAGAUUUGAAUAUUUCUACACCGUUGAACUUGUAAACGGCUCAUCACGACUAUUAAAAUUGUUAAUUUUGGGCCCCUUCAAACAAUCGUAAAAUUUAUUUUCUAAAUACUUCAAAUACUAUAGAUCAAGUCUAAUGGAGCCAAUUACGAUUCAAAAAAUUCCAGUAUCAAAAUCAACUUAAUAUUACCCGUGAUUCUAAAAGCAUACAAACCUAGCUCUCUAGAUAUUAUUAAUUAGUAAGCAUUACAUAUGAACUCGCUAGUAGUUCAAGAUAGAGUAACACAACUAUCUUUCAUAAGAUUACGAGAUUACAAUCUUAACGUGCGGAAAAGAUUGGUGUAGUUGCUCCAUUCUCUGAAAAAUUUCUUUUGGAAAAAAAAUUGCUUGGCUAUCUGGGGAGAUGGUUAUUUUCCGCAACGAAGUUGCCAUUCGGAAUAAGAACUCCAAGAAGUCGUACUCAUAUCUUUUUUCCGUAAAAUCAUGCAUCGAUAUCCGGACCAAUUUCUCAAGACAGAAGUUGUGAGAAUCCCGAUAUUCUCCUUUGCCAAAUCCGUCGAAAUAGUUGUAAAAAUCCUCAGAUUGAGGCUAGAGAAAAAAAAAAAAAAAGCAUAUAUGAGAAUAGAGCACGAAAAGAAAAUGAUGAAAAUGAGGAGGAUCUUAGGAUAUGCUUUAUAAGAAAAAUAAUUUUUAAUAUAUUUCUAUCAUUUUCAAGAGCAUGAACGAUAAGUAUUUAUAAAAAAAAUUUUAUAUAUUUUAGUUUAAUUUUGAUUUUGUUGGUGUAAAUAUUCAAAAAAUAGAGGUUAGCUACAAAAUAAUUUAAAAAUAUCAACGAGUCGAUCAAGCCGAGGCACGGAUAUCUCGCUCUCUUUAAGGAGAUUCAAGCCCUCUGCGGUUGGCAAAGCCUUUGAACCGAUGCAGCAGAGCACCGACUUGUCCCCUCCAGGAUACAACGGCUCGACCCUCGUCGUGUGGCUUCACCAACUCUGCACAAGUAGAUGAGCCCAAAGCUCCACCAAAAGAACACCUUUCUUUGACCUUCUCUCUCUCUCAAGUAUAAUAGAAAUAGCUUUAUAGUUUAUUGAGUUGUGUGUUAGAAUAGAGAAAAAGAGCCCUCUAUAUAUAGGCUCAUAGGAUAGGAGUUACUAGAAUUUAAAAAGCCAUAGGUUACAUAGCAUUUAGUUGUGUUCAUUGUGCAUAGGAGUUUAACGAAAGCAUAGGUUAGGUUUCAAUCAAAGUAAAGUUAUGAAGAAUUAAGAUUCACAUUAAAUAAUAAAAAUGUAACAACAUUCCCCCACUCAUUUUUAUUAUGAGAGUUUGAUGGUCAAAGAGAGAUCAUUAUACAUAAUGAAGGUGUGCUCUGCAUUGAACCUUCACUUAGUGAAACAGUAAUCUCUACUCCAGAGCCAGAGUGGUCUCAGACUUGAACUUUGGCUGCUUAGGGGAAAUAGAAAGUUACUGCUCACAUAUAACAAUCCAGGUGUUGACAUGAGCUUUAAUAGCCAGCACGUUACGGCCCUGUGCUGAUCCUGGUUUUCAUGAGCAUAUUUGAGAAUAAGCCCGUUCUCAUAGGAAGCGGCCCCACUUCCAUGCUCACAUAGGUGAAAUCCGUCAAGGGUGCUCCUGUAAUUCUGACACCCUGCUCAUAAGAGCCACAGAUUUCAUUAAGAGCAAAAGCUCAACCCUCUUUUCAUUACAGGAUGAAUGCACCCACACCAUAGGGAUAGGUAAAAAUGCGAUCACAUAGAUCUAUAUAUUGUGCAUUCUUUACGACCACCAUAUGAUUCGUUUUUCCCAUUGAACCCAAUUUUCAGGAUCUCUGAUCAUCGGGUUGGGUAUCCUCAUACGUGGUUCUUGAUGUUAUGGGCUUCAACCCUAUCCCCCUCGAUGUGUUCCAGAUCCUUUCUCUUCCCAAGGCCUUGGUUAAUGGAUCUGCCAGAUUAUCAGUAGAUUUAAUAUAAUCAACACUGAUAAUACCAUUGUUCAUAUAUGAUCUCACAGUACUGUGUUUUCUUCUCACGGAUCUGGAUUUACCGUUAUAAUAACGGUUUCUUACUCUACCAAUAGCAGCAGUGCUAUCACAGUGUAUUAACACUGAUGGAACUGGUUUUUCCACAAAUGGAAUCUCAGACAAUAAGUCUCUCAACCAACUAGCUUCCUCGCUAGCUGAAGCUAAGGCAAUAAGCUCGGCUUCCAUAGUUGAGUUAGCAAUGAUAGUUUGCUUUUUAGAUUUCCAACAUAUAGCACCACCUGCUAAAGUAAAAAUAUAACCAGUGGUAGAGAGAGAAUCACCUGAUAGGGUAUUCCAGUCAGCAUCACUGUAACCCUCAAUUACAGCAGGAUACUUCCUAUAAAACAAGUCAUAAGUUUUGGUACCAACGAGAUAUCUCAUCACACGUUCCAUGGCAUGCCAAUGCUCUGUACCCGGCUUGCUUGUAAAUCUACUAAGUAUCCCUACUGCGUAUGCAAUAUCAGGUCUCGUACAAUUAGUCGCAAACCGCAAGCUCCCAAUCAUACUAGCAUAUUCCUUUUGAUUCAAAAUUUCAUUUUCACUUUUAAUAGGAAACAAGUGAACACUCGAAUCAAAAGGUGUAGUCACAUGCUUGCAAUUAAGAAAGUUAUACUUUUUUAAAAUUUUCUCAACAUAAUGCGACUGAUCAAGAAAGAUCUCAUCUAGUGUUUUGGUAAUUUUCAUACCCAAAAUAUAGUUAGCCUCACUAAGAUCUUUCAUUUCAAAAUAAUGAUUUAGCAUAAUUUUUCUCUCAUUUAUAACAUUCAAGUUAGAGCAAAAAAUUAGCAAAUCAUCCACAUAAAGGCUAACAAUCACAUGCAACUUUUCAAAAGUUUUGUAAUAGAUGCACUUAUCACACUCGUUUAAUUUAAAGCCAUUCUCAAUCAUACAAGAAUCAAAUUUUUCAUGCCACUGUCUAGGUGCCUGCCUUAAGCUAUAAAGGGAUUUAUUUAGCUUGCAUACUUUAUUUUCUUGUCCAGGCUCUAUGAACCCCUCAGGUUGGUCCAUAUAAAUUUCCUCAUCUAAGUCACCAUUCAGAAAGACAGUCUUUACAUCCAUCUGAUGAAUUUGUAAGUCAUGAAUUGCAGCAAUAGCAAUCAAAACUUUGAUGGAUGUCACUCUUGUCAUCGGAGAAAAGGUAUCAAAGAAGUCUAAAUCUUCUUUUUGUUUAUAACCUUUUGCGACAAGUCUAGCUUUAUACUUGUCUACACUUCCAUCCGGUUUCAACUUCUUUCUGAGAACCCAUUUACAACCAAUUGUUGUACAGCCUGGAGGUAAAUCCACUAAUUUCCAUGUUUUAUUAGAAAUUAGAGAUUCCAUCUCAUCAAAUACAGCCUCUUUCCAAAAAAUUGAAUCAUUUGAAGAUAAAGCUUCUUGUAAAGAAAGUGGAUUUUCUUCAAUAUUCAUAACAACAUAAUCAGGGCCAAAAUCUUUUUCUAUUCUGUUUCGUUUACUUCUUCUUGGUUCAAAAUAUUUUCUUCUUGAUUUUGCACAAAAGAGUUUGAAGAACUCGGUUUAUUUGAAACACUUUUAAUAUCUUGACCCCCACUAUUUUUCGAUUUAUAAGGAAACUUUUCUUCAUGAAAAAUAGCAUCUCUUGAUUCAAAAAUCACAUUAUUUUCAAUGUCUAAAAAUCUAUAGGCUGUACUGUUUAAAGCAUAUCCAGGAAAUACACAAGUGGCAGCUCUAACACCCAAUUUGGGUCUUUUAGGGUCUGAUAGCCUCACAUAUGCUAGACAACCCCACACUUUAAGAUAUCCCAAAUUUGGCUUAUACCCUUUCCACAAUUCAAAGGGUGUCACCUUAGACUUCUUAUAUGGCACGCGAUUCAAGACAUAACAUGCAGUUAAAAUGGCUUCGCCCCAAAAAUUUAAGAGUACACCAGUGUCAACCAUCAUAGCAUUUGUUAGCUCAAUAAGUAUUCUAUUUUUUCUCUCAGCCACUCUAUUAGAGGCAGGUGAAUAUGGAGCAGUAGUCUCAUGGAUAAUUCCUAAAGACUGAGCAAAAAAGUUGAACCCCGUAGAUUCAUACUCACGACCUCGAUCACUUCUAAUUCUUUUUAUCUUUUUACCGAAUUGGUUUUCUACUUCACAGAGGAAAUCUUUAAAUUUUUCAAAAGCAUCACUUUUAUUUUUUAAUAAAUAAACAUAAGUAUAUUUAGAAAAAUCAUCGAUAAAAGUGAUAAAAUAUCUAUUUUCUCCACGAGUUAGAUUACCUUCAAAUUCACAAAUAUCACUGUGAAUUAGCUCAAGUAAUUCGGUACUUCUUUCAAUUCUCUUAUGAGGUCGUUUAGUGAUUUUUGACUUACUACAUGUUUCACAUUUGUCAAAAUCACUAUUCAGUCUGGGAAUUAAUCCUAAACUAUCUAUAAGCUAACAUAUCUGCUGCUUGAUAUGAACACAAUACGAGCAUGGCCAAAAUUUACAGAGAAGACUUCGUAAGCAGAAGUAGAUGAGCUUUAUUUAUGCAUGUUAGUAUUUGACAUUCCGUCGAUGCAUACACUUUAUCCUACAAACUUUUUUCAUUCUUCGAAUCACAUUAUGAUCAAACUCAUGGUCUGUUUAAGUAGCUUUAUAAGAAGAAAAUUGACAUCAAGGUUCUUCCUAACAAGGGUGUAUGUAAUACAUCUUUCAUUAUAAAGACCCUUCAGAAGCAAAAUCUUUAAUCUCAAACUCGCCUCCCUAAACUUAGAAGUAUGCAAAUCACAAGCAUAAUUACUUUUGUUUGUUCUAGGUUAGUAUAUGAUUUAACCAAGUCUCUAUCAUGACAGAUCAUGCCUUAUUGGCACUAGAGUCUGCCCACCAUCCUUCAGCCACGCUCAAUAAGAUAUGUCGGUUAUCAUCCACAAAGUGGAUCCUCGACAUUAGCUUAAGGUAACAGUUUUAUGUUUCCGGUAUUUGCAAAUUCGGAGCAAUAGUGCUGUAAGGACUGAGAUUUUUGCCGUUGUCACGCUUAAACUCUCAGUUACGAGGUUUUUGUGUGCAAUUUAAUUACAAAAGUACUCGUCAAGUUUCGAGAGAAAUCGAAGUUAAAAUGGGAUUCUCUUACGCGAUUCCAAGUUUCACUUAAAGGUGAAUAGUAACUCGAUUUUCCGUGAGAAGCCACGGUUGAAGUUGGCUUCAGGCUUAUAUCGGACUCCGUUCCUAGCGGUCCAAUAGCUCGUUUCGGAACGAUUCAGCUGUUCUGGAAUAAUGCGCUAGAUUUUGAGUUGGAAUGCCACGAAUUUCGAGAAAAUCUAAAAAAAUACAUGUUUUAUAUGUAUUUUGUGUCUAUUAUUCUGUUUGGAAUGAAAGGUUGGAUUUCGUCCGAAUCCGGGUGAGUCGAUCGAGGUUGAACCAAAUCGUAGCUUUGUUGUCUCUGAGGUGCUGAUCCAUGGUGGCAAUCCGGUUCGCAAAUUGACGGACGGAAUGUACGGAGAUCGCACGUGAUCGAGGAGAGGGUCGUGUUGGCAAAACGGUGAAUUUCGCAACAAGUCGCGAUUAUUUGUUAUGGUGUACGUUUCGCGGUGAAGAUCGCACGUGGAGAAUCUUCAUGGUUUUACUCAUGCUUGAGGGGACAGAAUCAAAUAUGAGUUUGAGGGUUUUCGCAAUUUGCACAUUAUACUAUAUUUUUAUCUAGGGUUUUGCAAUGGGAAAACCCUAACCCUAGACUUAGCCGCAACCCUACACUCAAUCGACUCCCUGCCCCUGCUGGCGCGGCGCCCAGGCGCGCCGAUGGGUACGGCGGCCACCGGCCGCCGGAGCACCUUCCUUUUCUCUCCCUCUUUUCUCUCGUCUCUCUCUCUCUCGCGGUUGUGAGAGCCUUGAAGACUGCCGCCACUCCAGACCCUUCCGCCGGUUGUCGGCCCGCUGCCCGGCGAGCCAUUCCCCGCCGCACCGCCAGCCGUGGCUAGCGACCGCCGGCUGCAGCCAGGAUGGCGCUGCUGCUGGGACAAGGGCUCCGCCGAGCGGAGUGAGCAGCAAGUUGGUCGCGCGCCUUGCCGCCGCCUGAGACUGUCCGCGCCUUCCCGGAGCCAGGUGACUCCCCGUCGCUGUCGCCGUCGCGAGGCGCCGCGCUGCCGCCAGCUGCUGACUUGCUGCCAAUGAAGGGAACUCGGCCCGAGCGAGUUGCAACUAGCUUCCCACCGCCGGACGCCGGCGCUCGCAGCCGCAGCGCAGCCGCAGGCACCCGAGGCACCCCUUCGGGCUUCAAGCGAUCCUCGCUGCGCCGUCUCGGAGUCCCAGGCGCCGCCCGUGGCCGCGAGGCUGCCUUGGAACACCGAGCCGACCUGAGUGCGGGCUUGGGUUGCUUCCACCGCCUGCCGCCGCGCUUCAGCCGCCUAACUGGGUGGCAUCGUGUUCCUACCUCCUCCGCACCCACCUGGCCCCGCGGCCGUCGCAUGCCGCCGGAGCCCGGCCGGAGCAGCUUGCUCCGGCCAAAGCCCGAAAUAGGGCUUAAGUUGAUGUGUUAUUGUUUCUUGAGCUUCCUGAGCUCCCGAUCUGUCGAAAGGGAGAAUGAUGAUUGUAGCAAAUUGAUAAUCAUCGUGUUACCUUUAGUCUCUGGGGGAGACUCCGAUGCCGAUAUUUCGCGGUGUCGGACCCUGUCGACGCCGUGUUUGGUGUUUGUUUGGAGACUUGCUCACGUUAUCCGGCGAUCGAGGCUGUGUUCUUGAUUGCCUCCAGGUGAGCACAGCGUGUCGUUGGUCUGUGCCGAUUCACCAUUGCUCACCUUACUUUGGGAGACAUGGUCGGAUCAGCCCUGUUUGGCGUGAUCUUCCCUCGACUGCGCGCUUGUUCGCAGAACUUCGGGUUGCCGCCCGCGUUGCCCACAGCGACUGUUGCCGUCCGAACAUUGAGCACGGCGCCCGGCACAUCGAGACGCCUGUCCAGUACAGUGUUCCGGCGGAACUUAGAGGUCCUCAGUUUGUGUUGGAAGAACGGAGUCAUAAGGAGUCGCACCGAUUUACAUAAAAUGAUGGAUUUUAUGAUAACAUAGGGGCUUUUGUGCCAAUUGUACACCUUGUGCCUACUGUGGACAGAUGUGUAUGAGUGUGUUUGACCUCUGGACUGUUGCCAUGAUCCGUUGCUUUUGCGAAAAUCAAAGAUGGUCAAUUUCGGUGUGUUAUUCGGCGAAGUUCGCGAAAGAACGCGGUUUCGGUUCGGAUUCUCUGACGUGUAUGUUGUUUGUGUUGGCUGUCUGCUCGCUGAGCUUGUGGUGGCUAGUCACCAUCAUCUAUUUUGUGGGAUGGUUCAGGUGAUGUAUGGGUGUAGCCGACGGUGGGUUCGGUGUCGAAAUUAGACACUUUCGGAACUGCGCGAUUCGAUACAAUUAUCCGGGCGAUAAUUGUGUAGUGUGUUAUCUUGUGUUUGCAUGCCAAAAUCCAAAUUGGAGUGUUUUGGAAGACAGGCGAUGUGAACACGAGUCGGUGUGAGUUUCGGGAAUUAGUGGUGCCCGACGCGUCCCGGUGCUGGUUUUUCGGAUUUCGGUGAGUUACGGUUAAUCGGUAUGUGGGAAACCGCAUCUUCUUAUGAAAUUGUUGUGUGGGGGUUGUGAAUACUGUGAUAUUAGUUGUGGGUUAGAUAUAACCCGGUGGCCCUCUAUAGUCUUGUCGACAUUCUUUUGCAGUCAGAAUGAUAGAACGCGACAUCGUUACAGCGUGCGGUACUUGACCGACGUCGGUACAGUGCCGUGGCACGCUUGGUGCAUGGUUUCUUCCUUACUCUUCAUCGUUGUUACGUAUCGCAUAGUAUAUUGAGCCUUGCACCUUGUUAUAUUCGUGUAUACUCUACUCGUUGUUUGCCACAUGCUUCAUAUCCUGCAGUAGCGAGUAGUAGUGAGUUCUAUCGAAAUGCGUAUCUGUUGACCUAGUUAGUUGGUUGUUGCAUUGCGUAUCUUUGACUGGUUGGUCGGUUCUCUAACUUGUUUCGGUGACCUGAGUUGCGUCGGUUUCGUACAUCAUUCGAUGACCGUUGAGGGUCGGAUAUACCCUAAGGGGGGUUGGAUUGUCGCGUUGCAGACGGAGAUUAGUGUUUACACAGUUCCACUAUUUGGAUCAUAUUGGACUAGUAGUCAGCAUUCGGAUGGAGUCUGGCGUUGAUGACCUAUGAGGAUCGUCUACCUGAAGGGGCUUGGAUUGUGCGGCUAGUGGCCGACGGUAAUUCAGGAUUCUAUUGAUAUACUCUGGUGGACCUAUUCGUCGUUCGUCGUGAAUAUGUGGUUAGUUGACUUUAGUAGUCAAUGCUUGUAUACCUUGGUAGCGAUGUUGAGUUGUUCCUCUUAGUUGGGACCUGGAUAGUCGUUUCUUGUGCUUUGUAUAGUUUGAUGAACCUAUUGGUCGGUGUUUUGCCCGAGCGGGCGGUGGUUGUGCGGCUGGUUUGCCGAAUUUGGCUAUUGUUCAUAUCCGCAUGUGAUCGCCACGCUCGAUGGUGCAUUUCAGUGACCAACCAGCGGGUGAUCCCCCGCAGGGGGGUGUUCCUUUUCCGGAAAAUGUGGUCGUACAUCCGACCGUGAGCCAGCGGUGUGCUCUUUGUGCUAGGGUUAAUGCAGGGGCGAGCAAGGUGUGCUUUUGCCUGAGCGUCCUUAGACCGAACACGGCGGUUUAGAUUGGGUAUUUGGACUACUUGUCGGUUGACGCAUAUACUAUAGUAGCAGUGCGUCACUUGUAUAUCUUCAGUUCUAUUUCGUUAAUUGUUGUACUAUAGAUCUUGUUACAUGUUACAUUCAGUUUGUUCAUUACAGGUAGCGUAGUUGUAUCUUUCUAUAUAUGUCUAUUCAUUCAUAUUAUUGCUACUGUAUUUUUACUGACCGAUAUGUUGUUUUAGCUUCUUCCUGUAUCCGGUGAGUACUCCUCGCCUUCAUAGAGCUUGCGGUACCCACUGUGCGAGAGGAGACAUGUUUACAUGUUCUCACAUCCCCCACCAUUUUUUCAGUUUACAGGCGAUGAGAAUGUUUGGGACGAGAGUGAGUACGUUCGUAGCGGGUCGGAUAGGAGCUUCCGACCAGCCUGUUAUUAUUUUAGUUUUAUCCUUAUAUUCUGUUGUAUAGCUUAUAUGUUUAUAUGUUUUCAGUUAGGAUGAUCAUUACUUGAUGUUUGAAUAUUGUGAGCUGGUUGAAUUGUGGAUUUUGUGGAAUUAUGGAAUUUGGUUUAUUGGAUCUUCAGUUUUGGGAUGUUGUUAUACUUUGGUUCUCGAAUUUGUAUUUAUCGGAGUGUACGCAUCGUGGUUUUCGUACCCCUCGGUAGUCGGUUUUCAAAAUAGAGUUUCUGUGUGGAAACAGUUUUCAAAAGAUUUUGUAAUGAUUUUCAUGUAUGAAUGAAUUAGAUUUUAAAAAGCAAAAAAGUUUCUGUUGUGGGUGAGCUUUAAAUUAGGAUGAUUGUUGUCUGCUGAUUUCAUCAAUCCAAACGCGUCUAAGGAGUGUUUAGAGCAUGCAUCAUUCUCUAAGGAUUGUUAGCCUGUAUGAAAAAUUGCCAUAACAUGAAUUGGUUGCUGAUUGGUAAAUGUAGGUUGUGGUUGUCGAUCCUUGUAUCCGUUGGUACGCGUGCAAAUACAAAGGGAGACUCUGUCCGAGGUGAACAGGAUGUGAACUUUGUAUUUGUGGCGGGUCUGUACUGUUCACGUGGCCAGGUUGGGAAAAAAAAAAAUGCACAUUUCGGACUCUGCAGAUUUCAAAAUGGUAAUGGCUUUUAAAAUCCAGUUCCCGGGGGUGAAGUAUUAAGAUGGAUCAGAGAGUGAACAAACUACCACCUGCAUUUGUACAAAGUUUUCAAACUGAAUUUGUUAGUUAUGAUACGCCGGGAUAUCAGCGGGAAGGCAUAUCGGUAUCGAUGCACAAGACCGCCAUACACCUGCGGUAUAUAAGGCGGUCUACAAGAAACAAGUCGAUAGGUGGAGCAAAAAAAUAACCUAUACCUAUCCUAAUAUCAGAGCAUAGUAAAAUCACAAAGACUUAUCAAACAAAAGACGAGAGUGUUCAGCAAAUAUAGUGUCAAAAGGAAGUAUAAAAAUGCCACAUCUGGAUCAAAUAAAUAGUAACAAAAGGUUAUACGAAAACAGUCUGCUACAAUGCGUAGCUCUCGAUAAAACUGGCCAUCACCUCGGCUGUAACCCGAGUAGCAAGGUGAUCGACUAGGCACGCUCCCAGCAAUGUCUAGCUAGACGUGACUUCCUUGCCCGGUCCCUAGCCUCUCUGUAGUGGCUCUCUGUAAAACACCACAAAAAGGGUGUGAGAACUAUAAACAAUAGUUCCAGAUGGCCGUAAGCGCCAGCCUCGGCGAACUACACCAUAGGCCACUCAUGAUUGUACUAAAUGAAAGCAAAGCAGUAAUUGAUGAUAUAUAAUUAGGCAAUGCUAACAGUAAUGAGAUGUAAGCAACUAUGUAAUCAUAGUCUCAAACAGGUAAUGAAUCAAACUGGAAUAAUAGAAGCAUAGGCAAUAUGAUAGCAUGAACAUAAAAUAAAUGUUAAGUAAACUACUAUACACUGUAACUGGUAAUCUUCAUUACUGUCAAUUUUCUUUAGCACUUUCUUUCAUUCUAAAGAAUCUUCCAAGGUGUCCAACUUUUGCGUCCGCCGCUUUUUUAAUGGGCCCGUGGUUAGUAUACAACUCACGGCAAUCCACUUCGGCACCCAAUCCCGCACUGGGCGACAAUGUCGGCGUAGGCAACUGAGGCGGCUUUAGGAGGACUCACAAGCGUGUGCGAGAUGAGCACAAUGGCAACAAGCAAUCCACAGUCCACAUGUCUCAUCAUCACGUUUUCCAAUUGCAAAGUUCUUCGAUCUUUGAUCGCGAAUUCUCAAUAUAAUAAAUAUUGGCAAUGACUAGAUUCACUAGAUUACUAAGCUUUUAAGAGUAAUGCUAAUUUACAAUAUGGAUUAGAUCUUUCAUUACAUGGCACUUCAACAUAGUGCAGAAGCUUGUCAUUGUUGUUACUUUACAAUUCAAUCAACGGUCAGACAAAUGUCAUUGUUCUCUAACCUAUUACAGGAACAUGAAAUAAAUUAUCUCUCGGUUGUUUAAUGAACUAAACAAGGAAUUACCUCUAUGCAUAAAUGUUCCCUCUUUUAUAGCAGUUUAUUUCAUAUCAUAUAGCCAACAUGAUGAAUGUUUCGAGUUCUAUAUUAAACCACGCAUUACACACAGUAUAUUGAUUCUAUAAUACAUUAUAGAACAUAGGGGAGCUUCACUUUGCUUAGUUAGGUCAAACCCAACGUAUCACUACUCAAACGCCAAAGAUGCUCCCAAACUCAGCUCAAACGGGUCCCUGGACCUGCUGAAAUUCAAAACAUCAAACCGCGUCGGAACGUUACUUAGUAAUCUAAUUUCAGCUCUAUGGCGCAUAGUUACAAGCUAAUAAGCUUUAAUCCCGGUUGGCUAUUUAAUACCUCAAGUCGAGUCUUCAAAGCUUCCGGUCAGCUAAAAUCACUCUUAAGAGUCGAAUCACACUCCGGUGCCGAAAACAACGUUAAAACGGCAUUAGAAUUUGCUUGUAUGCAAGCUUCUAUUAGUCGAAUUCUUGUAAUUUCAGCUCUAACAGAAAUUUUUCUUACGAAGAUGGAAACCUUCCAAGCUAAGCCCCUGGUCACCAAAAUAGUCCCAGUGGUUCCAAGAACUGCUGCGAAGGAAACAAGUUCAAACUGAUCACUUCGCUCAAUAAUCCACGUAUAGCUUCGCAUUAGAGUCAACUUCCAUAAUUAUCGAUUUUUAGCUUUAAAGCCAAUUUAACCUAGUCUAGAUGGUUAAUUUCACCAGCAAUUACUUAACAUCUAGCAUGCUUGGAAUCUCUGUCUUAACACAGCUGCCAAGUAAAUCCUGAAAUCGAUACUUAAAUCGACCAAUAUAUCUUCAGUCGUACGGAAACGUGAGCACAUUACUUCUCAGGCUUCCAACCGCAACCUACUGUUCAGGGUUACGAAAGCCGUUCCCGCAAACACUCUCUCACGAUCAUAAAAGGUCAGCGACACCUGCAACCCCGAAGAACGAUGCCGAGGCCGACGAAAAAUAAACGAUAAGUUCGCGAUUUCUUCGCUAGAGAGAGAAACCCCUAGUAGAGAGAGAGAAGGAUGGUGAAUUAACACCCCUCUUGAGAUUCGCAGCAUCCUACUGAGCUCCUGGGGUCUGCUGGGUGUGGGGAUAAUAUGGGAGUGUGAAAGACAAACAGCUUGCUGCACGCAGCUGCGCGGCUUCUGCUUGCUUGCUGUACCGGUAAGCAUUAGGCUGUACCGGUUACACCAAGGUGCAGAAAUUGCAGAUUUCGUAUAUAGCAAUGCACUUUCUCCUCUCCGGCAAUCCGAUUCACUCUCUAACUUGUCCAAAACGUGUCCAAGCCUUUUAGGACAUGAUUAGGAUAGUUCCACAACUCAUGCCACGCACUCGAACUCCGCAAUUUGCAAAAGUUCAGUGUAUUACAUUCACCCCUCCUAAAAAGGAGUUUCGUCCGCGAAACGAAAACAGUUACAUCAAAAUAUCUUCAAAAUAGGUGAGGAUAGUGUUCCUGCAUUACACUUUCCAAUUCCCAAGUUGCUUCGCGUUCAUCAUGAUUGCUCCAAAGUAUCUUUACGUACGGUAUCUCGCGAUUUCGAAGCCGUUUCACUUCUCGAGCUAGUAUUCUCACUGGAUGUUCUUCGAAGCUCAAAUCUUCCUGUAAAUCCACUGGAGUACUCUCCAAUAUGUGAGUUGGAUCAAAAACAUAUUUCCGGAGCGUAGAUACAUGAAAUACAUUAUGUACUCCUGAUAGAUUCGGCGGCAACGCAAGCUGAUAUGCUACGGGGCCUAUUCGUUCCAACACCUCGUAGGGUCCAAUAAAUCGAGGACUUAACUUCCCUCGAAUACCAAAUCUCUUAACCCCUUUCGUCGGUGAAACUUUCAGAAAUACAUGAUCGCCAACCUGAAAUUCCAAUUCUCGCCGACGUUUGUCCGCAUAACUCUUUUGUCGACUUUGAGCUGUCAGUAGUCGUUCUCGCGCAAGUCGAACUUUAGCUUCAGCCUCUUGUAAUACAUCUGGACCCAAGACUAAUCUUUCACCCACUUCACUCCAAUGAAGUGGUGAUCUGCACUUUCUACCAUAAAGGGCUUCAAAAGGUGCCAUCUGAAUACUUGCUUGAUAACUAUUGUUAUAAGCAAAUUCAGCCAUUGGUAAGAACUAUGGCCAACUGCCCUGGUAAUCAAUCACACAGGCCCUCAACAUAUCUUCAAGGGUCUAGAUGGUACGCUCAGACUGCCCAUCACUCUCGGGGUGGAAAGCAGUGCUAAAAUCCAAUCGAGUACCCAAAGCCUCCUGUAAACUCCUCCAGAAAUGUGAAACAAAUCGGGUGUCCCGAUCAGAAACAAUAGAAACAGGAACUCCGUAUAAUCGCACAACUUCAUCAAGAUACACUUGUGCAAGUCUUUCCCCCGACCACACGGUAUGAAUUGGAAUAAAGUGGGCAGAUUUAGUCAAUCUAUCCACAAUUACCCAAAUUGCAUCAUGUCCUGCCUGUGAGCGAGGUAAUCCAACAAUAAAAUCCAUUGUAAUCCUCUCCCACUUCCACACUGGUAUGGGUAAGCUUUGAAGUUCUCCCGCAGGAAGUCGAUGCUCAGCUUUAACCUGCUGACAGGUUAAGCAUCUGGCCACAAAAUUUCCAACUUUCUUUUUCAUUCCAGGCCACCAGUAAGUUGCCUUUAGAUCUUUAUACAUUUUUGUACUCCCGGGGUGUAAAGUAUACGGUGCCCGAUGUGCUUCAAUUAGAAUCUCCUCUUUAAUAUCUGGAUUUGCUGGUACACAAAGCCUAUCGCCGAAUUUUAUCAAUCCCUGAUCAUCCACUCGAAAAUCACCACUAUCAUGAUCAGCAGGGAUCUUUGCUCGAAUCUUUUGCAGAGACUUAUCUUGAGCUUGCUUUUCUUUAAUUCGAUCGAUUAGGGUAGGCUGCACUACUAAUGACAUAAGUCUCCAAGGCGUGUCAGGAGCUACAAUUUUCAAAUUCAACUGUUCCAUUUCCUUCAUUAACAGUGGUUGCAUCGUUAUCGACAUCGCCAAAUUUUUCGUUGAUUUUCGACUUAAAACAUCUGCUACAACAUUAGCUUUUCCUGGAUGAUAGAGGAUGGUCAAAUCAUAAUCCUUGAGCAACUCCAACCAUCUACGUUGUCUCAAGUUUAAUUCCUUCUGUGUAAACAGAUACUUCAAGCUUUUAUGAUCAGUGUAGACUUCACAACGCUCGCCGUAGAGGUAGUGGCGCCAAAGCUUUAAAGCAAAUACCACAGCUGCUAACUCAAGAUCAUGUGUAGGGUAGUUCUUUUCAUAAUCUUUCAAUUGGCGAGACGCAUAAGCAAUUACUCUGCCGUUCUGCAUUAGAACACACCCUAAUCCAUUCAGCGACGCAUCACUGUAAAUCACAUAAUCCACUCCAGUAACAGGCAGUGCUAGAAUCGGGGCAGUAGUCAACCGUUCCUUUAGCUCUUGAAAGCUUCUUUCGCAGGCUUCAUUCCACAGAAAUUUAGCUCCUUUAUGAGUCAAUCGAGUGAGAGGAGUAGACAUCUUUGCAAAUCCUUCUACAAAUCUUCGAUAGUAUCCUGCGAAACCAAGGAAACUCCGAAUUUCUGUGACACUAGUCGGCCUAGGCCAAUCUUUAAUCGCUUCAAUCUUCUUGGGAUCGACAGCUAUCCCAGCCUCUGAAAUGACAUGGCCCAGAAAUGCUACUUCUCGAAGCCAAAAUUCACAUUUCUUUAACUUUGCAAACAAUUUCUUUUUGCGAAGUACUUGCAACACCGUUCCCAAAUGACUUUCAUGCUCCUCGUCGCUUCGAGAGUAGAUCAGAAUAUCGUCGAUAAACACAACCACAAAUCUGUCCAAAUAUGGCUUGAAGACACGGUUCAUUAAAUCCAUAAAGGCUGCUGGGGCAUUUGUCAAUCCAAAUGGCAUCACUGUAAAUUCAUAAUGCCCAUACCGUGUCCUAAAAGCGGUCUUGGAAACCUCUUCAGGCUUGAUCUUAAGCUGAUGAUAACCUGAUUGUAAAUCAAUCUUAGAAUAUACUUUCGAUCCUUGCAGCUGAUCGAAUAAAUCAUCAAUUCGGGGUAAUGGAUAUUUGUUCUUGAUUGUGACUUUAUUAAUUUCUCGAUAAUCCACACACAAUCGAAGAGAUCUAUCCUUUUUCUUAACAAAUAACACCGGUGCUCCCCAAGGAGAUACACUCGGUCGAAUGAAACCCUUAUCCAAUAAAUCCUGCAACUGUGCCUUCAGCUCUUUCAACUCAGCGGGUGCCAUCCUAUAGGGUGCUUUCGAAAUAGGAGUUGUCCCAGGGACAAGAUCAAUCACAAAUUCAACUUCCCUAUCAGGUGGCAUACCCGGCAACUCAGCUGGAAACACAUCCCCGAACUCUCGCACAACUAGAAUAUCAUCAAUCUUGAUGGCUUCACCAUCACUCACAGAAAUGCUAGCCAGAUAGGCUACACAGCCCCUCCGAAUCAACUGUCGUGCUCGCGAAGAAUUAAUAGUCAUUGCGAAUAAUGAACUCUGACACCCCCUAUAAACAAACUCCUGUUGGCCCGGUUCCCUAAAGGUCACCGUUCUGUUCGUGCAAUUUAUGGUGGCAUAAUACUGAGUCAACCAAUCCAUACCCAAUACUACAUCAAACUCCCCAAGUUUGUGUAGUGCCAAAAGAUCUACUGGCAUAAUCCAGUCGCCUACCCUAAUUAGGCAGCGAGGGCAAAACUCACGAACAUCAAGGGUAUGGUGAGGUACAAUCACUCGUCCAGGAUGCAAAGUAGGUACUACCUGAAUGCUAUGCAACUCGGCGAACUGCCGAUCAAUAAAAGAAUGCGAAGCACCAGUAUCAAAUAAUGCACGAACAUGAAUAUCAUAAAGCAUAAUGAUACCUGCUACGACCUCCUCCGCUGCUGCGGCCUCCUCUGUCUGGGCGGCAUACAUGCGCCCACUCGAACCCUGUCGAGAACUCUCAGACUGUCGCUGUCCCGGUGGUCGUCUGUACUGCGAGGGUGCUGACGGGGUCCCCUGGCUCGGAGCUGAAGAUGCAGGGGCUGAUGCCGAUGAGGGUGCAGGUGAAGAACCUCUCGGGCACUCUGAACGAAAGUGGCCCUCCUGACCACAAAGGAAGCACCUGCCCCCACGUUGUGGACACUGUGGUGGAAAGUGAGGCCCACCACAAAUGACACAACGUGGCUGUCGACGACGCUCGGGUGCUCCACGGGGUGCUGAGGAACCUCGACCUCUCGACUGACCCGGCUGGCCCCUAGGAUAUUUCGGUGGUCUCCUGAAAGGUUGCUGACCACAGCUCUCUGCUGUUGGCCUCUUUCCUUUACUCCGAUCCACAAUAUCUCUUUCUUUCAUAAUCUCCGCCCCCUUUUCUACAAUCAAGGCCCGGUGUACCACCUCUCUAUACGUCGAUAGGUUUGACGCCUGGACUAGUCUGAAAAUCGCAGGUCGCAAACCUGCCUCAAAAAUCCGAGCCUUGUCUUCAUCAUCUCUGACCACAAAAGGAACACAGUGCAGCAAUCGGGAAAACUCUCGCUCAAACUCUGCUACUGUCCUGUCCCCCUGUCUCAGAUUUCUCAAAUCCCUUUCCAUCUGCCUCUUCACACUCUGUGGAAAAUAAGUCGCCAACAAUAAUUCCUUGAACCUGUUCCACGUAAUAGUGGACAAAUCAGUACGGGGAUCCUCACGAAUGUCCACCCACCACCUGUAAGCCUCGCCGUCAAGGUGGUGUGUCGCAAACCAAACUCGAUAUCGCUUCUCGACAAAUGUAUCAUAGAAUAACUUCUCCAUGUGCAUUAACCAUUUCUCGACCACCCAGUGAUCUGCUUUCUCCCCAUCAAAGAUACGAGGGGUGCAACGACGGAAUUCAUUCAAUUGUUCCAUCAUCCGCUCUCGCUCCUCAGCCCCUACUAUCUCUGGUAACACUGUCCUUGAUGCCGCUACAGGUACUGGUGGUGGUACUACUGUCUCCUGUCGGGUCUCCGCCCUCGGAGCUACUAGGGGUAUGUCAAGUACAGGUGACUGUGCUCUUAUUGUCGCAUCCCUGUCUGGUACUGUAGGUAUAGAAUCAGGAAUCUCUCUGUCUGUCGUCUGCCGCAGUAGUAAAUCCUCUAACCUCUUCAUUCUAUCCUCCUGUCGACGCGCAGCGUCCAUCUGCUGUCGCGCGGCCGCAGCCUGCUGAGCAACCAAAUCUGUCAGCUUCGCGAGCUGAUCCUGCAACUCAUGGAUCCCACUAGAUCCCGAAGUAACAGAAGUCCCCACUUCCUCUGCAUCCGCCGCCUCAGCUGUCCCGGCGGCUUGCGAACGAGUCAAAGGCAUCUUGAGCUGCAGCACAAAAAUAAAUAUAGAUUAAUAAAACCUAUACUACUAAACCCUCAUUGAGGAUAUAAGCCAGCUAAUUAAGCGAAAGUAAUGAAAUGUAACGCGUACUAACUUUCGAUGUCACAUUGUCGGCCGCCAACGUGACCCUCUGCAAAGUUAGUAAUUGCACAUUCCGAUCAAACCCCUACUAUUCAGAGUUUAUAAAUACCCAAUCCAAGUACUUUCGCUAACAACAAUCUCGACUAGACCUCGUCUCUCACGAGCCUAUUCUUAUAGUCCAACCAGCCUAAGGUUUGCUAGGUCUACUAAGACUCAACCCUAGGCUCUGAUACCACUAUAAUCUGUCACGCCCGGGAUAUCAGAGGAAGCAUAUCCGGUACGUGCACAGACCCGCCAUACACCUGCAGUAUAUAAGGCGUCUACAAGAAACAAGUCGAUAGGAGUAAAAACAUAACAUAAUCCUAUCCUAAUAUCAGAGCAUAGUAAAAAUCACAAAGACUAUCAACAAAAGAACGAGAGUGUCGAGCCAAAAUAUAGGUACAAAAGAAAGUACUAAAACUGCCACAUCUGGAUCCAAAAUAAAUAUACAACACAGGGUAUACAAAAAGUCUGUACAAUGGUAGUCUCUCUAUAAACUGGACAUCACCCUCGGCUGUAACCCGAGUAGCAAGGUGAUCGACUAGCACGCUCCUAGCAAUGUCUAGCUAGACGUGACUCCCUAGCCACGGUCCCUAGCCUCUCCUGUAGAUGGCUCUGUAAAAACAACCACAAAAAGGGCGUGAGAACUAUAAACAAUAGUUCCCAGUGGGUAAGCCGCCAGCCUCGGCGAACUACACCACUAGGCUCAUGAUGUACUAAAUGAAAGCGAAAGCAGUAAUUGCAUGAUAUAUAAUUAGGCAAUGCUAACAGGUAAUGAGCAUGUAAGCAACAUGUAAUCAUAGUCUCAACAGUAAUGAAUCAACUGAAUAAUAGAAGCAUAGCAACUAUGAUAAGCAUGAACAUAAAAAUAAAUGUGUAAGUAACUACUAUACACUGUAACUGGUAAUCAUUCAUUACUGUCCAAUUUUCUUUAGCACUUUUCUUUCAUUCAUAAGAAUCUUUCCAAGGUAGUCCAACUUGCGCCGCGCUAAUGGCCCCGUGGUAGUAUACACUCCCCACGGCAAUCCACUUCGGCACCCAAUCCCGCACGGGCGAGCAACUGUCGCGUAGGCUAACUCCGGAGUGCCGGCUUGUAGGGAGCGACCCUCACAAGCGUGUGCGAAUGAGCACAAUAGCAACAAGCAAAUCCACAGUCCAACAUGUCUCAAUCAUCACUUUCCAACUUGCAAAGUUCUCGAUCCUUUGAUCGGAAUUCUCAAUAUAAUAAAUAUUGGCAAUGACUAGUAUUCACUAGAUUACUAAGCCUGUAAGAGUAAUGCUAAUUUACAUAUGGCAUUAGAAUCUUUCAUUAACAUGGCACUAUCAACAUAGGCACAAGCUUGUCAUUGUUGUCUACUUUACAAUCAAUACGGUCAACAAAUGUCAUUGUUCUCUACUUUACAGAAACAUAAUAAACUUAUCUCUCGGUUGUUCUACUGAACUAAACAAGAAUACCUCUAUGCAUAAAUGUUCCCUACUUUAUAGAGAUUCUAUUUCAAUCAUAUAGCAAACAUUAUAGUGACAUGUUUCGAGUUCUAUGUUAACCACGAUUGCACACAGUUAUAUUGAUUCUAUAAUACAUAUAGAACAUAGGGGAGCUUCACUUGCUCUAGUUAGGUCAAACCCACCUAUCACUAAGCUCAAAACAGCCCAAGAGAUGCUCCAAACUCAGCUCAAACGGUCCCUGGACCUGCUGAAAACAAAACAUCAAACCGCGUCGGAACGAUUACUUAGUAAUCUAAUUUCAGCUCCUAUGGCGCAUAGUACAAAGUAAUAACUUAAUCCCCUGCUUUGGCUAGUUUAAUACCUCAAGUCGAGUCUUCAAGAGCUUCCACAGGUCAGCUAAAAUCACUCUUAAGAGUCGAUCACACUCCUGCUGCGAACAACGUUAAAACGGCAUUAGAAUGCUUGUAUGCAAGCUUCUAUAGUCGAAUUCUUGUAAUUUCAGCUUCCUAACAGAAAUUUUUGCUUACCCUUAGAUAGAACACCUUCCAAGCUAGCCCCCCUGGUCACCAAAAUAGCCCCAAGUGGUUCGAGAACCUGCUGCGAAGAAACAAGUUCAAACUGCAUCACUUCGCUCCAAUAAUCCACGUAUAGCUUCGAAUUAGAGUCAAACUUCACUAAUUAUCCAUUUUAAGCUUUAAAGCAAUUUAACCCUAGUCUAAAAUGGUUAAUUCACAGCCAAUUAACUUAACUCUAGCUGCUGAAAUCUCUGUCUAACACAGCUGCAAGUAAAAACCUGAAAUCGAUACUUAAAUCGACCAAUAUCGCGUCGAUAAGGAAGAACUUGAGCCAAGUACCUUCUCAGGCUUCCAACCAGCAACCUACUGGUUCAGGGUUACGAAAAGCCUUCCGAAACACUCUCUCACGCAUCCAUAAAGGCUCAGCGACACCUGCCAACCGCGAAGAACGAGCGAGGCGACGAAAAUAAACGAAAUCGCCGAUUUCUUCGUAGAGAGAGAAAAACCCUAGUGAGAGAGAGAGAAAGGAUGGUGGAAGAACACCCCUCUGAGCUCCAGCAAUCCCUACUGAGCUCCUGGGGUCAUGCUGGGGUGUUGGGGAUAAGUAUGGGAGGUGAAAAGACCAAAACAGCCUUGCUGCCACGCAGCUGCGGCUGCUGCUGCUUGCUGUACCGGUACAGCAUUAGGCUUGUACCGGUACACCAAUGCAGAAAUUGCAGAUUUCGCAAUAGCAAUGCACUUUCUCGUCUCCGGCAAUCCGAUCACUCUCUAACUUGUCCCAAAACGUGUCCAAGCCUUUUAGAACAUGUAGGAUAGUUCCACAACUCAUGCCACGCACUCGAACUCCGCAAUUUGCAAAAGUUCAGUGUAUUACAUAGGUUGACCAUAGGAUGACCAUAAAAUCGUAGGCACGUACGAGCCCGGGGUAUACGAGAUUUAAUCUCGGGGUUAUCGAGCUGGUAGGUUCGAGGGUUGAUUUGUGUUAUCACCUCGUGUUCUUUUGCUACAGGUUGUGGCUUGUGCUUGUUUUGGUGUUAGGAGUGGGGAUAGUGAGCGGACUAGCUCUGAGCAGUGAGGUAUCAUCAGACUGCUAUUGCUAUUUUAAUCGCCCCACCUCCAACACGGGACAUGAAUGUUUUUGCUGGUCAAUCCGCAGGCACAGGGUGUAUUCUGUUGAGUUAUGUCAGGUGGUUUUGUUGGUGGAGUUACCUAGGCAGAUGUUUCGACCUUUGUGGGUUUCUUGUCAGUGUGGUGUGUGUUGAGUCUUGCUUUUGUAUAGUAGUGAUAUCGUAUCUCAGUUCGUGCAUUCUAGUGCAUUAUAGGGUUAUUGGUCAGAUUUGUUCUUGUGUCUUGUCUCCAACUUGUUGUUGGCGAUGGAUCAGUGGGUACCUUACCUUUCUUUCGAUAAUUACGUUGGCUGCAGACAACGUAGUGUUGAAAGUUAGGAUAAGAUACCCUAUCCCUUUUGGGGAAUAUCUGGAUUGGGUCGAUAUUUCUUUUCUCUUGUAUAAGAGGUGUUAGUCUUCUUUGAUCAUCUAGUGAGCCUGGUGUUUGGCUCUGAUGUAGCAGCUUGCAUUGUUGUACGAGGUAUACGUUUUGAUUUUUGGGGAUACCUUGGAAUGGAUUGGGUUGCUGCUCGGUCACUUGUUGGAGUCUCGAUGAGACGGGCAUCUAGUGUUGCUCAGGACGUCGAUCGCUAGGGUCCCUUGGGGACGGCAGCGAUAGGGUCUCGUAGAGACAGAUGUGGAGCAUCACUAGUUGUUUCGAUCGCUUGUUGCGAGUGGCAACUCUGUUCACCUAGUGACGGACAUGCUUUGGUUGUAUGUUUGAGUGUUGAGCAGGCUAAAUUGUUGGCUCAACUGGUACUUGCAGCCUUAAACCUUUUUGGUCUAGGCAAAUGGUUAGGUCUUGGACCUAAGAGAGUUGGGUGCCAUCGAUGGGUUCCGAUGGUUAAGUUCUGGCUUUGUCGGGUUAUAGUUCGGUUUAUUGGGAGGUUGUAGCCUCCGAGGUGAGUGUUGUUUCUCUGGCGUAGGAUCACCCCUGCCUGUGAACAAGUUUCGGGGACGAAACUUCCUUUAAGGGGGGGAUGAUGUAAGGACUGAGAUUUUUGCAGUGUAGCUAAACUCUCAGUUGACGAUGUUUUUGUGUGCAAUUUAAUUACAAAAGCACUCGUCAAGUUUCGGGAGAAAUCGAGUUAAAACGGAGAUUCUACGCGAUUUCCAAGUUUCACUUAAAGUGAAUAGUAACUCGAUUUUUCGAAGAAGCCACGGUGUGAAGUUGGCUUCAGGCUUGUAUCGGACUCCGUUCCUAGCGGUCCAAUAGCUCGUUUCGACCGGUUCAGCUGUUCUGGAACUAAUGGAGCUGACGAAUUUUGAGUUUGACGCACGGAUUUCGAGAAAAUCCAAAAAAAUACAUGUUUUAUAUGUAUUUUUGUGUUAUUCAUUCUGUUGGAAUGAAAGGUUGGAUUUCGUCGCGAAUCCGUGGUCGAUCGAGGUGAACCAAAAUCGUAGCUUUGUUGUCUCCGAGGUGCUGAUCGCAGUGGUGCAAUCCGUUCGCAAAUCUAACGGACGGAUCUACGGAGAUCGCACGUUGAUCGAGGAGAGGUCGGUGUUGGCAAAACGGUAAUUUCGCAAAAGUCGCGAUAUUUUAUGUACCGUUUCGCGUGAGAUCGCACGUGGAGGAGUCUUCAUGCGUUUUACUCAUGCUCUGAGGAACUCAGUAUCAAAUACUGAAGUUUGAGGGGCUUUUCCGCAAUUUGCACCUUAUAUAUAUAUUGUAUCUAGGGUUUUGCAAUGGAAACCCUAACCCUAGACCUUAGCCGCACCCCUGCCACUCAAUCUACCUCCCCUGCCCCUGCUGCGCGCGCCCAGGCCGCCGCCGACUGGGUCCCGGCCGGCCAGCCGCUGCCGGAGCCACCUUCCUUUUCCCUCUCCUUCUCUUUCUCUCUCUCUCUCUCCUCUCGGGUUGUGAGGAAGCCUGAGACUGCCGCCACCUCCAGACCCUCCGCCGAUGUCACCCCGUGCUCCGGCGAGCAUCCCCGCUGACCGCCGCCGUCGCCUAGCGCCGCCGCUGCAGCCCAGGAUGGCCGCUGCUGCCUGGGACAGGGCUCCGNUUGUUGAACCUAGAGUCGGGAUCUAGGUGUGUGGCAUUAACCUAGUGUUAAAGAACAUAGGUUGAGAACUGAACCUAGAGUUAAGGUAAACCUAGGUUGUGACAUCGAGGCAUUAGACCUAGAGUCUGUUGGACCUAGGGUGGAAAGUGCAUUGGACCUAGAUAGGUCAAUAGUAUAGGGUUGGAUAUGGACCCUUGACUUGUGAAGUCGAUUCCGGAAUCCCAGUACUUGUGAACUCAAUAGUUCUUGGACCGCGGGUGUAUGCGGCGAUGUUCCUCUCCCACCGGAAAGAACUUUGAGGAUUAUGACUAAGCAAGAACAAAGAGCGCUAGGGUGUACGGCAUGUUCCUCUCCCUAUCGGGGAUCUUGGCUAUGGGUGUACGCGGCUAUGUUUCCUCUCCCACUAACGGAUCCCUGACCACGGUGCACGGACCUUCGGGCGGACCGUUGGGCGAUGUGGUUCUUGGCUUGCAGGCUGAGGUGCAUGCGACAGGAUCCUUCACCUCGAGCCGGGCAGAGCGCGGAUUAUCCGCUGUUGAUUGACUCGAGGCCGAGUCGGGUGGCUAGCUGGAAUAAGGUAGAUAGAACCUUGAGGGCUAGUGGUAAAUGUGAUAACCUAAGGUAGUAGAAACCUUAGAGUUGGGUGACAUGAGCUAAGAUUAGCGAGAUUGAUUGUAGAAUCAAUAAUUCUACUAGUUGUUGCAUAUAUUCCUGUUGCAUAUAGCAUGACAUCAUUGCAGUUGUGAGGCAAAGCAAGGUAAAGUUAGUUGCAUGUUUAUGAUAUACAUAUCUAUCUGUUUAUUGGACUAACUUGUAUUUGCCUCCCUUGGACCUGUUGGUCGAGCUCCUCCCUUGGGUGGCCGUACCCACUGGGAACCAUGGAGUUGGUUCUCACCCCACGUUGUUUUGGGGUUUUACAGGUUCGCACGUGAGCGGCGCUGCGGCGCGAGGCAAGGGCGUAGCUCCAUAGAUAGCGCCCUACCCCCAGAGACCAGAGCUAGCAGUACCCCGUCGGCGUAACUUAGGGGUAUAGAAAAUGAAAGGAAUAAAAUGUAUUAAACUUGUAAUAACUUAGAUUGUAUUUGGAAGUUGAAUGUAAUAUAUAAAGUGUGAUGUAAGUAAAUGAAUCUAAUGUGAAUGUUGUAAUAACAUAGGAUGUGUUUAUGUUGUUUGAUACUUCCUUACGCAAUCAUGAUUGAUAUCUGUUCCUGAUUGGAACCAUUGUAAUGUACAUUGUUUGGAUUGCGACGCCUAGAACGUACAGGGGAGACUCUGUCCGCGUACAGGGGAAACCCCGGUCCGUUCGGCGGUCUGUCGGCGUGCCCGAACCGGACCAAAUUGGGAGCGGUCUCGGGGCGUGACAGUUCCGAUGCCUCCGGAGGUGAGCACGGUGACCGCUGGUCAGUGCUGAUCACAGUGCUCACCUUUUUUUGGAUCAGCAGUGCCCGGUUAGUCCUGUUCGGUGCGUUUUUCCGUGGUUGCGCGCUGUUCGCUGAACCUUCGGGUUGCUACCGCGCUUCCCACAGCGAGCCGUUAUGCUCCGGAUCGUGAGCAUGACCUCCGGUACGUCGAGAUCUAUCAGUACGUGUCUCUGUGGACCUUGGGAGUCCUCGGUUUACGUGAACGAGCCACUUGAUCGCUCAAUUUACAUAAAAUAAUAGGAUUUUAUGUAAAUUGAGGGUCUUUUAUGCAUUUGUGCUCCUUGUGCCUACUGUGGACAGUGUGUAUGAGUGUGUUUGACCUCUGGACUGAUUGCCCAUGACCCGUUAGCUUUUGCGGAAAUCGAAGAGUCGAUUUCGGUGCGUUUUUCGGCGAAAUUCGCCGAAAGAACGCGGUUUCGGUUCGGAUUUCUUCCGACGUGGUUUGGUUGUCUUGUGUGUGGUUGCUGAGCCUUGUUGGCUAGUCACCAUCAUUAUUUUGUGGGUUCGGUGAUGAUGGGUGAGCGACAGUGGGUUCCGGUGUCGAAAUAGACACUUUCGGGAACUCGGAUUCGUAUAAUUAUCCGCCAAUAAUUGUGUAGUGGUGUUAUCUUGUGUUUGCUGCCUAAACAUCCAAAUUGGAGUGUUUUGGGGCAGCAGGCGACUCGUGACACGAGUCGGUGAGUUUCGGGACACUUAGUGGGUCCCGACGGCGUCCGUCUUGCUCUCUCCGCGCGCAGCUCGCCCAGCGCACCGCACGCCAGCCGCCGGCGGCUGGCCUGCUCCUCCCCGCUCUCCCUUGUUUCCUUUGCUUACCGCCGCCUUCCCACCACUUGUGCUGCUCCGCGGCGUGAACCCACCCCCUCGCCCCCCCCCUCGGCGAGCCCCUCUGACCACCCUCAUCGCCGUCGCGGGCCGCGCCGUCCCGGCCGCCCCCGCGCGCGAACCCGCUGGCGCGUGCGGCCCGCUUGCGCCGACUGGGCCGCGGUGGUUGGGCUCUCCUCCUCCCUCGCCCUGCUGCCCCUCCGCUUGCCGCGCCCACUCGCUGGCCCUCCCGCGUCGCCCUCGCCGUCGGCCGUCCGGUGUCGGCCCCCCGCCGCCGCGGCGCUGGCCCGGGCUCCCGCGCCCCCAUCGUCCCCCCGCCCGCGCACGUGGCUCGCGGCACGAGCGCCGCCGCCCUCCCGCUCCGCUUGCGGCCGCCUUCCCUCCGGCCGUCGGCCCCCCCCCCACGUCGUCCGCCUGGUCCGACCCGCCGCCCCUCCCGGCCGACGCCGCGCCGUCUUGUCGCCUUCCGCCCGGUGGGCUUUGUGCGACGGCCCUCCCGCCCCGGCGCCGCCGGCCUCCGCGUGCGCACCGCCUCCGCCUGGCCGCCGCCCCCUCCCCCGCCGGCUACCCCGCUGCCGCGUCUCCUGUCCCCCGUGUGCGCCCCUGCUCUCCUCGGGUGUGUGCAACUCGGGCCUCGUUGCCCGCCGUCGCGCCGCCUCCCUGCGCCUGUUGACUGGAGCGCCCGCCCUCCCUUGCCCUGGAGCACCUUUCCCUUGGCCGGCCUGCCGCCGUCACCCGCCGCCUGCACGCAGACUCCCCGAGCCCUGCUUCGCUCCGGUACGUCGUUGUAAUUGCUAUUCUUGUGCGGUUUGGGCUUGUGUCUCGUGUCGCGGCGACGCAGAGGACUGUUCCGAUGCCUUCCGCCGGGAGCACGGUAUCAUCUCAGAUCAGUGCUGAUUCACAGUUCUCACCUCAAUUAAGUGGUCAGAGAGCCCCUGGUUAGCGAGAUAAGCAUGGCUUUCAUGCUGUUGCGCGCUGUCGCAGACCUUUCGCGUCACCCCCGACUCUCUACAGUGGCCAAAUUGCUUACGAAAGGUGAGCACGGCCUUGCCGGCACGUCCGAACUGUCAGUCGGGUAUCGGUUGCUCGCUUGAUUGACCUCUGGUUUCAUGGCACGGCCAUAAAAGCGGCCGAAAUCGGAUGAAAUAAUCGAUUUUCGAGUAUGUCGAAAGGGUUUUAAUGCAACUUUUGUUCGUCGGCGCUGCUGUUGGUAGCGAUGGAUAGUUUGUGGGUACCUCUGGACUGAUUGUCCAAGGCCCCUGGACCAAUUGCGAAGAAUCGAAAGGGCAAUCCGGUGCGUUUGGUCGGCCAAAAUUCGCCGACGGAACGCGGUUUCGGGUUCGGAUUAUUCCGACCAGGUGUCUCGGGAUAUUGUAUUUGUGUCGGCUGAGCCUAGUUGGCUGUCACCGACCGUGUAUUUCGAGGGUUCCGAAAGUGACGAUUGAAGCGACACGGUGGGUCCGGUUAGGGGUGUAAUGUGGGCCGUGCCGGGCCGGCACGCCCUACAUUUUUCGGCGCGAAACGGCUAUGCUGGCACGGCCCGCCCGCCUUCAAUUUCGGGCCUGGCCGUGCCGGCCCAAACGCCUAGCCCCUGGCCCGGAGGCACGGGCCGGCCGGGCGGGCCAGGCUUCGGCCGGCCUAUUAAAAAGUUUGUUUUUAAAAUUAUUUUAAAUUUUAUUUAAAUUUGAAUUAAAUUAUUUAAAAAUUUAUAAAAAUAAUUAAAAGUAGUAAAUAUUUAUUAUUUAUUUUUUAAAAAAAUAAAUUUGUAUUAUUUUUUAAAAAAAAAAAAAUUAACUGGAGGCCGCGGCGUUUUCCGAGGGCCUUGGAUUCCGGGGAGAGGGGUGUCUACGGUGGGAGGGGAUCUCGGAAGAGGUGGCCGGAGAGGGGUCGGGCGGAGCCGGGAGGAAGGAGGCGGGACGGAGGGGGAGAAACGCCGGGACGGGUGGGGCUUGGAUGGGGGCCGGUGCCGGAGCUGGGGCGACAAGGGUGCGUCCGGGGCCCGUGGGCGGAGCUGAGCUCGGAGGUGGCCAUGCGCCUCUCCUCCAAGGGUUGACCCUGGAGGCAGAUUCCUGGGGAGGAGGAUGGACUUGCUUCUCUUCCUUCCUCCCAGGAGCUUAGCCUCAAGGCGCAAAGCAUUUGCCUCGCCUUGAGGGCCCGCCGGCUGGGCUCGGCUGCACGGCCCAAACGGGCCGUGCCUGCCGCGCCGCCCGCGCUUCCCAACUCGCGCCGCGCUAUGGCCAGGCCCGUAUGGAGCCGUUGCCCGUGCGGCGUCGGGCUACAUAUACGCCCAGAACCGACCCGAAGUGCUCGGCCGGGCCGGCCCGGAUCGGAUCUACAGAAGAUCCCGUGCGUGCUUAGCCCGGCCGAGCCGCCGGGCCGGCGGCCGCACGCGUGCCGCCUGGCCCGUUUUAACACGGCCCAGUUUCCGGUGUCCGAAAUAGACACUUCCGGGAACCCGGUGUCGGAACGAUUUAUCCACGAUAAUCGUUUUGGAGUGAGUAAGUCUUUGCUUGCCAAUCACAUGUAAUUGUAUUUAGUGGCACGGGUGACUCGUAGACGAGUCGGCUGAAGUUCCGGGACAGUCGUGCGGUCCAGCAGAGUCUCGGCGGUUUUGGGACUUCCGUUUUGUUCGGUAAUCGUUUUGGAAACGAUCUCCGUGGGAAUUUCUUGUGGUUGUGUGUGAUUCAAUGUUUAUUAAUGGGGUAUGCUUUUAGGGUUUCUUAGUUGGUGGGUAGACACUAACCCAUGUGGACGCCUCCUAGGUCUGUUGAUGUUCUUUGUGCAGUCAGGAGAAAGUGCGACAGUUGUACAGGUGUCGUACUGAUCCGACGUCUGGUACACGUGUUGCAGCUCCGGUGAUGGUUUCUUACCCNNNNNNNNNNNNNNNNNNNNNNNNNAGGUGUGGUUUUUUCGGACUUCGGUGAGUUGCGUAAUCGGUAUUGGAAACCGAUCUCCGUGAAAUUGUUUUGGGUUGGUGGAUACUGUGGUUAUUAGUUGUGGGUUAAAGAUACUAAUCUCCAGGUGAUCGCCUUAUAAAGGUCCCUGUCGACAUUCUUUUGCAGUCAGGCGACAGACGCGUGAACAUCUUUUAAGUGGUGGUUUACUUCGAUCCGAAUGUCGGUACAGUGGUGCACGCUUCGGUGAUGGUUUUUACACCUUACUCUAUGUUGUUACUAUUCGCAUAGAAAUAUUUGAGCCUUACAACCGUGAUUGUUUAUUCGUUAUAACACUACCUCGUUGUUUGCAAUAACUUAGUAUCCUGAGGUAGGAGUUAGAGCAGUUCUAUCUAUAAUGCUAUGCGGCACUAGUUUGUCUGUUGUUGCAUUCAUAUCUGUUGACUUAGUUGGUCCGGUUGUUGCAUUCCUACUGUGACCUGGUUGGUCGUUCCUCGAGUACUCGUUUCGAUGACGCUGAUUGGUCGGUUCUCGUACAGGUCGUUCGUGACGGCCAUUGAGGUCGUAAACCUAAGGUGGGAUUUGUCGUUAGGCACCGACCGAAUGGAUUAUCAGUUACACAGUUCCACUAAUUGUGGCUAAUUUUGUGACCUAGUGCAUCAGCUUCGUGAGUCCUGCUGUUUGAUGGCCUAUGAGGCGUGUACCUGAGGGGUGGAUGUCGCUAAGUGCCGACGGUAAUGUCGGAUUAUUUGAUAAUAUCUGGUGACACUAUUCAUUCGGUUCGUCGUGCAUUAUAUGUAGUUGACAUUAUAGUCAGUGCUUGUAACUCUUCGGUAGGAUGUUAGUGGUUCCCUCUCAGUUUGCCUGAGUAUCGUUCUUUGUGCUUCUAUAUAGUUUGAUGACCCUACUGGUCGUUUGCCCCGCAGGGGCGGUUGAUUGUCGCCUGGUUGCCGACGUUGGCUAUUGAAUAUCUUCAUUGAUUGCGCACAUGCUCGAAGUGCAUUUCACGGACACCGGCGUCUGAUCCAACGCAGCAUGGGGUGUUCUUUUUCGGAAAAGUGGUCGUACAUUCCGACCCGUGAAGCGCAGCGGUGUAUCUCUUAUGCUAGGUUUACAUUGACAGUGGCGCAGCCAGGUUGUGGCUUUGCUGAGGUCCUUCCAGACCGCACGGCGGUUUUACGAUUGGGUACUGUGACUAAACUUGUCCGUGUUGUAUAAGCUACGUAAGUGGUUGAUGCAUAAACAGCCUUGUAGUUCUUUCGUACAUUGUCUUGCUACUAUAAGUCUUAUAAUCAUUAUACACUCAUUGUUCAUUGCAUUACGUAUCCGUAUACUUUCUUUCCAAUAUAUAUGUCUCUUUCAUUCAUAAUUAUUCUACUGACUCUGUAUUUUCUACUGACCGUACUGUUGUUUAGCUCUUCAUGAUCCCGGUGAUACUCCUCGCCUUCAUCGGCUUGCGGUACCUCACUUUUUUGGGGAAGGGGAUAACAUGUUUACUGUUUCUCACCUCCCCCACUAUUUUUCAGGUAUUGCAGGCGAUGAGUUUGGGACGAAACUGAGGUACGUUGUAGGCGAUCGAAUAGAGUCUUCCGACCCAGGUUAUCGAUUUUAAGAUUUUUAUCCUUAUAUUCUGUUGUUAAUAGCUUAGUUAGUUUAUAUGGUCAGUUAGAUGAUCAUACUUGAUGUUGGAAUGUUGUUGACUGGUUGAAUUGUGGAUUUGUGAAUCUGUGGAUUUGUUUUAUGAUCUCAGUUUGUGGAUGUUUGUAUAACUUUGUGGAUCUCGAUUUGUAUUUAGGAUGUACGCAUCCGUGGUUGUCUAACCCCCUCGAAAUAGUCCUAGUUUUCAAAAUAGAAGUUUUCGUGUGAAAAACAUUUUCAAUAGAAUUUGAAAUGAUUUUCAAUGUAAAUGAAUGAUUAGAUUUUAAAUACGAGUGAGCCUAUAAUAGGUUUGUUGACUGUGCAUUGCAUCAUCCCUUAUUUAGUGCUUUCUUGAUUGUUUUUGUAGAAAUGCAUAUCAUGUUUGGUUGCUGAUGAAAAUGUAGGUUGUGUUUGAUCUUGUUUAUCGUUGUACGUCGUGGUUGUCGUGAAGCAGAUGAAACCUUUGUAUUUGUAGGCGGAGCUGUAUUGGGCUUGUCUGGCUCUUUCGCGACUCUGAGAUUUCAAAAAUGGUAUUGGCUUUAAAAUCGGCCCGGGAGCGUGAACAGGUAGUUAAAUACCGCUUCAACCAGCCGGGACGGGUGGUGUUCACAGUCCCUAGUAAAUAUUCGGGCUCGAGUUUGCAUUUUUCUAAAGAUUAGCCUAGUUUGGUUAUUGAUAGUAUAGUGGCAUAUAGCUGUAGGUGUUCCAGCUUCCAUUACUAUCUUCCUCUUACUUCUGUGACUUACGGGCUGAGCCGUUGAGGUCGUAAGUGGUAACCUACUGAGAACUACUUUUUUGCAGUAGUUCUCACACCCAAGUUGCUGACUCUUUUUGCAAGCCUUCUUCUUUCGCGCUGCUAUCUGCGCACGAUGUUCCUGAUACUCCUGAUCGUGGAUAGGGAGUUGUGAGCUAGAUUCCUUCCAAGACGAGUUUACGGAGCUACGAGGAGUACCUCCACAGGUAGUUUUUGGGGUAUUUCUUGGUAACAUAAUGUUGUUGUCCGGGUGCGGCCUCGUGGGCGAGUGUUGUUUAGAUCAUUUUGUAUGUAUUGAACCUCUGCGAUUUUUAUAUAUAUAUGUUUCAUGUUUAACACCCAGCUCAUUACGUUGUGGUUGUUAUUUUGUUUUAUUUACAGAUACACUAUCGCUUCGUAACAGCGGAUUUGUCGCGUGCCUGGAAAAACGUGUAAUCCGCGGGCGUCGACAGUAACUGAUAUAAAUUGUAUACUUACAACGCUAUCCAUCAAAAUGAAUGAGAUUUCUUUUUUUGUGACAGUUCAGAGACGAUAUUCUUGAACUUUCAGAAUAAUUUAAAAUUUUAAUUGCAAGCUGGAGUAAAUAAGCAAAUGCCUCUAAAAAAUAAGUGUGUUUUAGAGCACAACAAAAGCCGUAUAUAUUCCAAAGGAAGCGCGCAUUGAAAUUUAAGACUUCAAACGAGCACUUUAAAAUGUUUAAGGAUCAUUUAAGGACUGAUCUAAGUUUUUAGAGCAAUGGAUUGUUUGGUAUUGACCGCAAUUUUCCAACAUAGUUUUGAUUGAGUCAAACUGUUUGACCAAGUCAAAAUUUCUCAAUUUGCAAAUAUGCUCUUUAACUAUUUCCUGAAUGACGUAUCAGAAAAAUAGGUUGAGGAGGUAUCAGAUCAAUCAGAGAUUCUUCAAAGAAUUAAACAAUUUUGCUAAAAACUAAGAGCGAACUCAAAUAUAAUUUAAUUUAUUGUGACAAGGAAAGUUACAAUAAUGUAUUAUCGAAACUAACCGAGGUCCAUAAAAUUAGAAGCUGAGAAAUUCAGCUCUUGUUUGGGCGCUCGUUUAUCAAAUCUAAGCGAUCAUCGUCGAACUCAUUUCGAUUCGAACACAUUAUAUAACUUUGAACAACAAGGUUGGAUUGCCGGCCCUCAUAAAAUCGAAUGCUUUCGUCAAACAAAAUAAUACCAUAUUCCUAUAUGACAAAAUCAAACUAUUUGGAGGCGGAGAAAGCCAAAAUCUGUUAAAUGCAUUCUAUGAUACAAAUUGUUGUUAAAAUAAUCUUUAAACUAUUUUCACUAGAUCGAUUUUUUUGAUAAAUAUGAUAUCAAGAGACAGCUCAUUUAGUUUGAAUGCAACGUGAAAAUUUGUUCCCAACUGAUUAAUUUUUCAGCAAAAUUAUCAUUAUUGAUAUUAGCUAUACCAUAUAUUAAGCUAAAAAUCACCGUAGUGUUUGUUUCGGGAAGCAAGGGGGGAAUAAGCCCUCAUAUCCCCAGCUUUGUCCCAAAACGGAUGUUUGGUUACCUUGGGAAAGUAGUUCUACAUUGCUCUUUUGUUAUUACCCAUGCAUAUAUUAUAUGUUGAGCUUUGCACCUCUAUUGUUUAUAUUACACCCACGUUGUUUGAUUUUACUCUACUCAGACGUUUCCAUGCUUAGUAUCAUGUGUAGGAGUAUAGUCUAUCUGUAUGUGAUACCAUGUUUCCUUGUUGCUCUACUUAGCUAUUCUCCAUACCCUAAUUCGUGUUUAUAGUAGAGCGAUUCCGUGAUUAUCUGUGAGAUCAGCGAUCUAGUCGGUCGAUUCUAGUAUUCAGUAUUUGUGACCUAUUCAGUGAGUUCCUCGACCUUUGUUGUCUGAUGACCGUUGAGGUCGGUAUACCCUGAGGGGUAGGAUUGUCGGUUAGUUGCCGACGGAUGAUUAUACUUUACUCAUAUUCACUAUUUGACAUGUUUGUGACCUAGUCGGUCAGUGCAUCAUAUCCUAUACUUGUGACAUGAUUGGUCGAGUUUCAUAUCCUAUACUUGUGACAUGAUUGGUCGAGUUUCAUAUCCGAUACUUGUGACAUGAUUGGUCGAGUUUCAUAUCCUAGUUGAUCUGAGUGGUCAGUCCUUGUGGUUCAUUGAGCAGUAUUUUCAUAUGUUUGAGAGGAUGUCGAUGUUGUCCCAUCCUAGUUGACCUGAGUGGUCGGUUAUUGUGCUUCCUUACAGUUGAUGACAUGCGGUCGAUGGGCCGUGGGGGGCAGGAUUGCCGGCUGGUUGCCGACGGUUGAUCAUUGAGCAUAUUGCAUUGAUCGCCCGAUACUCGUCGCAUUUCACGAACACUGGCGGUUUGAUCCACCGCAAGGAGUGUUCUUUUCCGAAAAAGUGGGUGAAUGGUGACAACCCGUGAGCCCUAGAGGGGUUAUAUGCACUGGAGAGUAGUAGUGGCAUUGGCUUGAGGUCUGCGGUGCUGACCAAGAGAGCAUUGGUUUUAGAUUGGGUACUUUUGGACUGAUUGUCCCGUUGACGCAUACGCCUAUAGUAGCAGUUAUUGCAUGCAUACUUACAGUUCUUUCUAUAUACUUGUCUUGCUACUAUAGUUUGAUACCCAGGUAUGUUUUAUAUUCUUCUUACAGUAGCGGUAGUCGUUCUUAUACAUUCUGUUCAUGUAUUAUUAUUGCUACUGUAUUUAGUAUAUCUGCUCAUUACCUUAUACAUCUCUUUCGUUUACUAUUGUUCCUACUGUAUUCCCACUGACCCGUAUUGUUAUAUAGCUCUUCCUGAUCCGGUGAGUACUCCUCGCCUUCUUCGGCUUGCGGUACCCACUGGGAGGGGAGACAUGUUUACAUGUUCUCACCUCCCCCACCAUUUUUUUUUUAGGUAUCGUGGGCGAUGAGUAGUAGGACGAGACGUGAGGUACGUGUGUAGCGGUCGAUAGAGCUUCCGACCCAGGUUAUUUCGGUAUAGUUAUUACCCUUAUUAUUUUAGUUGUUAUAGCUUAAAUAGUUAUAUGGUUCAGUAUUUUUAUUACAUUUGAAAAUAUGGAUUUUCGUGAAUGUAAUAAACGGAUUUCUGGAUUUUGUAAAAUAAAAGGUUUUCUCCCCCUGGUGGUAGCGUUUUUAAAGAAUAAAGGUUUUCGUGUAGGAAACAGUUUUCAAAAGGUUUUCUGUGGAUUUUGCAUCUUAGUAUUUCAAAACCUGUUUCUGUGGUUGGAAACAUUUUAACUGAUAGGUGUGGAUUUAUGCAUAAAUGUGAAUCUAUGGUGAAUGGUGUAUGAAUAUAUAUAACGGUUGGUUAUUUGUAUGUUCAUUUGUUGUGGUUGUGCCUGGAUGACUUCUUGUACUUGUGCGACGCCGUACAAAUACAAGGGAGACUCUGUCCGUGUGAACAGUGGAUUUCCUGUAUUUGUGGCAGAUCUGGCAUACUCUCGGGUCAGGUUUUCAAAAAAAUUCAGACGCUUUUCCGCUUUGUUUUAAACUGAAAAGGGACCCCGGGGCGUGACAGCUAUACUCAUAAAAGUAUAGUAGCCCUAGCCUAUAUAUAUAUAUAUAUAUAUAUAUAUAUAUAUAUAUAUAUAUAUAUAUAUAGCUAGACUACUAUACUAUCUAUAGUACCGAGCUCCGGUACUAUAGUGUUGAUUUUCGAUCUUAGGGCGUUUAAAUCAAUGAUCCACACCGUUAAAAUUGAUCUAGGGUAUUUAAAGUUUCUAGAAAUAAAAUUUUAUAUUUUUUCGACAUAGUUUACUUUAUGAUCAAACUAUUUCAAAAUUAUCAAUUUUCAAUGGCAAUUAUGAGGAGUUUGGAGUUUAACGGUGUAGAAAAAUCUAAAUUUCUUCAAAUUUUGAUAGAAAAUACUUUAAACUAUGUAGAUUAAGGUUAACAUUCUUGAUCUUGAAUUUAAAAGUCCUAUGCUCAAAUUUUAAAGAUUAUUCAAUUUCCACCGUCUAUUUUGAUAUAAUUUAUAUACUAAGUAAAUGAUAUCGAAAAAAACUAAAAUUUUAUUUCUAAGAAAUUCAUAUACCCUAGAUCAUAUUUAACGGUAUGGAUCGUUGAUUUGAAUGCCCUAAGAUCGAAAACAAACACUAUAGUACCGGAGCUCGGUACUAUAGAUAGUGUAGUAGCCUAAUUCUAUAUAUAUAUAUAUAUAUAUAUAUAUAUAUAUAUAUAUAUAACUGGUAUAUCCAAUUUUUCUACUGCGUGCCGAUACUCGGUUUCCAGUAUCGGUACUCAAUACAAAUUCAGUACCGGUACUCAUUUUUUAUUCCUCAAAAUCCGAGAGCUCGAAUUCCUUAUUUUGUAUUGCGUACCGAUACUCAGAUUCUAGUACCGGUACUUAAUACAAAAUCUACAACUUAGGCAAAUUUCAGCUUUCGGAGCACGUU
This 43789-nucleotide long non-coding RNA is filed under the name Ananas comosus (pineapple). RNAcentral describes it as "long non-coding RNA (ACOM_LNC042049)". The record is from RNAcentral. Lineage: Eukaryota; Viridiplantae; Streptophyta; Magnoliopsida; Poales; Bromeliaceae.